This 376-nucleotide ribosomal RNA is filed under the name uncultured bacterium. RNAcentral's name for it is "bacterial SSU rRNA". It matches the Rfam family "Bacterial small subunit ribosomal RNA", at positions 524 to 898 of the family's 1533-position model. The record is from RNAcentral.
UACAGAGGGUGCAAGCGUUGUUCGGAAUUAUUGGGCGUAAAGCGCGUGUAGGCGGCUUGGUAAGUCGGGUGUGAAAGCCCUCAGCUCAACUGAGGAAGUGCGCCCGAAACUGCUUGGCUUGAGUACCGGAGAGGGUGGCGGAAUUCCCCAAGUAGAGGUGAAACUCGUAGAUAUGGGGAGGAACACCGGUGGCGAAGGCGGCCACCUGGACGGAUACUGACGCUGAGACGCGAAAGCGUGGGUAGCAAACAGGAUUAGAUACCCUGGUAGUCCACGCCGUAAACGAUGAGAACUAGGUGUCGUGGGUGUUGACCCCUGCGGUGCCGUAGCUAACGCAUUAAGUUCUCCGCCUGGGAAGUACGGCCGCAAGGCUAAA